RNAcentral lists this ribosomal RNA (590 nucleotides) under Nematoda sp. RS-2017. Its description in RNAcentral is "SSU rRNA". It matches the Rfam family "Eukaryotic small subunit ribosomal RNA", at positions 1026 to 1643 of the family's 1831-position model. The record is from RNAcentral. Lineage: Eukaryota; Metazoa; Nematoda.
CUGACCGUAAACUAUGCCAUCUAACGAGUCGGUAUUGGUUAUUAAUUGCCAUUUUGACGAGUUACCCGGAAACGAAAGUCUUUCGGUUCCGGGGGGAGUAUGGUUGCAAAACUGAAACUUAAAGGGAUUGACGGAAAGUCACCACCAGAAAUGGAGCCUGCGGCUUAAUUUGACUCAACACGGGAAAACUCACCCGGUCUAGACACUAAAAUGAAUGACAGACUGAUAUAUCUCUCAAGAUAUAGUGCAAAGUGGUGCAUGGCCGUUCUUAGUUCGUGGAGUAAUCUGUCUGGUUAAUUUCGAUAACGAACGAGACUAGAACAUAGUUAAUUGUGUGUAAUAUUAUUAUUUUAUUACACGGUGAUAAAUGGAUAUGCAAAUUAAAUUGCCUGAAAACUGGCAAUAACAGGUCUGUUAUGCCCUUAGUUGUCCGGGGCCGCACGCGCGCUACAAUGGAAAUUGCAGUGCGUAUAUACUAUAUCGAAAGAUAUGGUUAAACGUGUCAAAUUAUUCCGCAUUCGGGAUCGGAGACUGUAAUUGUUUCCGUGAACGAGGAACUUCAAGUAAGUGUGUGUCAUUAGCGCACGCUG